RNAcentral lists this long non-coding RNA (622 nucleotides) under Chinchilla lanigera (long-tailed chinchilla). RNAcentral describes it as "lncRNA (ENSCLAG00000028974.1)". The record is from RNAcentral. Lineage: Eukaryota; Metazoa; Chordata; Mammalia; Rodentia; Chinchillidae.
AGGUCACUCUGUGUCCUGUCCCAGCUCGGGUCUGAGCCCAGGACAUGGCGGAGGUGGAGGGGAGGUGCACAGGGGAGCGUCCCCCAUGAGGAGGCCGAGGCAGACGGAGCUCCCUGCCCGGGGCUCCCACCCAGACAUCUCCCACGGAGCUAAGAGGAGAGGGGCACGGGAGACACAGGAGAAGCAGAGACAAUCAACACAUCACAGAAUAAUUCAGAGCCCAACACAGGUAAGAAGAACUCCCAGGUGUAGGGCUGGACACAGGGGGUCAAGCCAUGUCCAGGAGCGCAGGUGGACAUGCAGGGCUGCAGGGGAGAUUCUAGUCUGUUCUGACCUCUCUGACCUCUUUGUCUCCAUCCCCAGCCUCACAGCCUCAGGAUUACACCAUGGAGAACCUCAUCCGCAUGGGCCUGGCUGGCCUGGUCCUGGUGGCCCUGGGGAUUCUGCUCUUCAAGGAUCAGUGCAGUCAGAGAAGGACCCAAGAUGCAGCCGGGAGAUGAAGAAAUAGCAGUCAGUGCUUGCUGAAACCCCUGUGGAUGGUAUCAGUCUAUCCCACCCAGCAGUAUGGCACAUGGAUGCAAAAUAAAGACAAAAGGAGAAAGUUCUGCAGUUGAGGAGCUCC